This 812-nucleotide long non-coding RNA is filed under the name Hordeum vulgare. RNAcentral describes it as "long non-coding RNA (HVUL_LNC007360)". Lineage: Eukaryota; Viridiplantae; Streptophyta; Magnoliopsida; Poales; Poaceae. The record is from RNAcentral.
UUCUAGGCAUCGGGAUGGCUUGGACUGGUUAAGGGGAGUGCCCUGGUGCGCUAGGACACGCGUCCAUUGAGGGACCUGAGCUGCAGGAUGAAGAAAUGGUGCAGAGCACCGUUACUGCAUGCUGCCACCGCGGUCACCAUGGCCACUCGAGUCCACAGGGCUGCUAAGACCAGUCAAACAUUUCCAACACGUAGGGCACACAUGCAGGAAGAAGACUCAAGAUUUUGGUUGCAUCUGGGGCUAGUUUGAACUGGUUUUGACUGAGGUUAACAUUCCACUAGUAAACUAGGGGCUGGCAAAAUUUGUUUCCACAGGGAAAACCUUGGGGUGAAACCAUGUCUUGGAGCACUUGAUAUGGAAAGACUUCACCACUGCAAAGUUUCAGCUCAAGAGGAGGAAAGUACCUAUUACUUGCUGUGCAAGGCUACAUUUCAGCCAGAAAUGAAGUUUCAGAUGGGCUGCUCAUAUUUCCCACGUGAGCAUACUAUAUUUUGAUACGAAAUGGUGCAUUAGCAUGCUAGGGAUGCCCUGGAAGAAUGAAGGGGCCUUGGCUGAAGCAGAAGUGGGGCAAGAGGGGUAAAGAUGUUGAUCCAAGGGUAAAAAUGAGGAAUAGCUACAAGGGAUCCCUCUCCAAUAAUUUACCAGUGUCCAUGGGAAUGUUACUGGAGGUAAAAUGUAACUAUAUGAAGGUGUGGUAGAAAGUUGAGCUCAAGGGUUAAAGUGGAAGGGGCCAAAGUAGCCAAUAAAGUGAAUGCACACAAGGUGUUUGAUGAGUGGCAGAGCAACCAGAUGGACUUCAAUGGAUAUGAAAC